RNAcentral lists this unclassified non-coding RNA (432 nucleotides) under fungal sp. RNAcentral describes it as "partial internal transcribed spacer region". The stretch from base 1 to 46 matches the Rfam family "Eukaryotic small subunit ribosomal RNA", at positions 1786 to 1831 of the family's 1831-position model. Lineage: Eukaryota; Fungi. The record is from RNAcentral.
AAGUCGUAACAAGGUUUCCGUAGGUGAACCUGCGGAAGGAUCAUUAUGAAUUGUGCCUGUUUGCCGCAAGGCGAACGCCACUUUUCUGUGAACUGGAUCCGGUUGUCUCUCUCUCUGUGUUUUUGUUUCUGAAUUUUUGUUUGCUUUUGUUGUUGGAUGCUGGCAAGCGAGUGGAGUGAGUGAAGAGUUGUUGUUGUUGGAUGCGCUUAAUGCCUUUCGCGGGGUGUUGAGUGUGUUUGGCGGCAGUGCUUUUUGCAAGCGAGCACGCGAGUUUGGCUGAAAGCGGCAAGAGUGAGCGAGAAGGAAGCGGGAAUGUUGUGGGGGGGGUUGAUCGGGUUGCAUUUGAAAUUUGUUUUCUGUUGUGUUUUGUUCUCUCAAGUUUUCUUAACUGAAAAAAAAAGACAACUUUCAGCAAUGGAUCUCUUGGCUCUU